GCCGAGGUAGCUCAGUGGUAGAGCGAAGGACUGAAAAUCCUUGCGUCGCCAGUUCAAUCCUGGCCCUCGGCACCA
RNAcentral lists this transfer RNA (75 nucleotides) under Candidatus Abawacabacteria bacterium RBG_16_42_10. RNAcentral's name for it is "tRNA-Phe". It matches the Rfam family "tRNA". Rfam says of the family: Transfer RNA (tRNA) molecules are approximately 80 nucleotides in length. Lineage: Bacteria; Candidatus Abawacaibacteriota. RNAcentral also lists the same sequence under 3 other names. The record is from RNAcentral.